UUUUUUCUGCUUGGUGCGUAGUGCAUCCUUUUGGACCCACAUUUUUUAAUCGGGAAGUUAGACUUCCUGGCCUGUUUGCAGACCUCCCGCCGCCGCUUUGACGGAUGGUGGAUGCUGGGAGCAGUGAUGGUCAGGAGCGGCAACCCACCUGCCAUUACGUGCAGGUCAUAAUUGGAUGUGGUACGGCCAAAGCGGAGGGUCU
Molecule: non-coding RNA, 202 nt
Filed under: Eubacteriales bacterium
Lineage: Bacteria; Bacillati; Bacillota; Clostridia; Eubacteriales
Description: 6S RNA
Rfam family: 6S / SsrS RNA
About the family: E. coli 6S RNA was the first non coding RNA to be sequenced, but its function was unknown until recently. It consists of 184 nucleotides that fold into an extended hairpin structure with a large single-stranded internal bulge.
Source: RNAcentral